UGUCGUCAGGCUCGUGUCGUGAGAUGUUGGGUUAAGUCCCGCAACGAGCCGCAACCCCGCCUUUAGUUGCUACCAUUCAGUUGAGCACUCUAAAGGGACCGCCGGCGUUAAGCCGGAGGAAGGUGGGGAUGACGUCAAGUCCUCAUGGCCCUUAUGUCCAGGGCUACACACGUGCUACAAUGGGCGGUACAGAGGGUUGCCAACCCGCGAGGGGGAGCCAAUCCCAGAAAGCCGUCCUCAGUUCAGAUUGGAGUCUGCAACUCGACUCCAUGAAGGUGGAAUCGCUAGUAAUCGCGGAUCAGCAUGCCGCGGUGAAUACGUUCCCGGGCCUU
This 332-nucleotide ribosomal RNA is filed under the name uncultured delta proteobacterium. RNAcentral's name for it is "bacterial SSU rRNA". It matches the Rfam family "Bacterial small subunit ribosomal RNA", at positions 1050 to 1382 of the family's 1533-position model. The record is from RNAcentral. Lineage: Bacteria; Deltaproteobacteria.